This 300-nucleotide unclassified non-coding RNA is filed under the name Inocybe sp. RNAcentral describes it as "partial contains small subunit ribosomal RNA and internal transcribed spacer 1". The stretch from base 1 to 46 matches the Rfam family "Eukaryotic small subunit ribosomal RNA", at positions 1786 to 1831 of the family's 1831-position model. Lineage: Eukaryota; Fungi; Basidiomycota; Agaricomycetes; Agaricales; Inocybaceae. The record is from RNAcentral.
AAGUCGUAACAAGGUUUCCGUAGGUGAACCUGCGGAAGGAUCAUUAUUGAAUAAACCUGCAGGCUGUUUUGCUGGUCCUCUGCCAGAGGGCAUGUGCACGCUUGUCAUCUUUAUUUCUUCCACUGUGCAUGUAUUGUAGACCUUGGUAGUUUUGGGAAUUGUUCGAGUAAAAUCGAAUAGAUUGAGGACUGCUGUGCUUCAGCUUUACCUUGUAUUUCCAGGUCUAUGUUAUUUUAUCAUUAAAACCCUAUGUUUGAGAAUGUUGAAAUUGGGUCUUUUGUACCUAUAAAGUUAAAUAUA